UACGGAGGGUGCAAGCGUUACUCGGAAUCACUGGGCGUAAAGAGCGUGUAGGCGGAUUGAUAAGUUUGAAGUGAAAUCCUAUAGCUUAACUAUAGAACUGCUUUGAAAACUGUUAAUCUAGAAUGUGGGAGAGGUAGAUGGAAUUUCUGGUGUAGGGGUAAAAUCCGUAGAGAUCAGAAGGAAUACCGAUUGCGAAGGCGAUCUACUGGAACAAUAUUGACGCUGAGACGCGAAAGCGUGGGGAGCAAACAGG
Molecule: ribosomal RNA, 253 nt
Filed under: uncultured bacterium
Lineage: Bacteria
Also listed under: 3 other names
Description: partial 16S ribosomal RNA
Rfam family: Bacterial small subunit ribosomal RNA
Source: RNAcentral